Non-coding RNA from Labrus bergylta (ballan wrasse), 1406 nucleotides. The record is from RefSeq and is a predicted model, not a curated record. NCBI's taxonomy places the organism in Eukaryota, Metazoa, Chordata, Actinopteri, Labriformes, Labridae.
AGCAGAGGAGGAGAAAGAUGUUGAGGAAGAAGAGGAGGAAGUAGAGGAAGAGGCUGCAGAUGAGGAAGAUGAUGACGCUGAAGAGGACGCUGAGGACACAGUAGCAGAGGAAGAAGAAGAAGAAGAGGAGGAGGAGGAUGCAGAUGAGGAAGCUGAAGCUGAAAAUGAGGAAGAAGAGGAGGAGGAAGAGGCCUCUGAAGAUGAUGAUGAAGACGAAACUGAGGAAGAGGAGCUAGCCGGAGAAGAGGAGGCUGAUGAUGCUGAAGAAGAAGAAGAGGAUGUUGCUGUACAGAACACAACUGAUGCACUGGAAGAUGAAGAUGACGAUGCAGCAGAAGUCGAAGAUGAUGUAACUGAAGAGGAGCCAGUCGCUGACUUGCUCCAAUUCCACCCGGGCUCUUUGUGUAGUGUUUGCUCCAUCUGUGAGCACUGCUCCAAAAACUGUGGGGAGUGCCCUUGUGAAGAGGGAGACGAGUCAGAGCACUGUGAACAUUGCCAAGAAUGUUCAUCCUGCUACCUUUGCCCAUUACUUUGUGACACAAUUUGCACGCCAGGUGGCCUUAUUGACGAGCUAACUGGAUCCCUCUUUCAGUCUUUUUCCUCUCUUCUUUAAGCUAGCCUUUGAUACCACCAUGUGGUUUCAUGAGGUAUUGCACUCAGCAUCAGAGCUGUCCGGUUGUUCAUACCUUUCCAGCAACAUGAGGACUCCCACAAGAGCUUCACAUCGAGCAGCUGACAAAAAGGAAAAAUCACGACUAGGUUUUAACUCUUGUUUAGACACUGAUUUUAACUAGCUUUGAAAGGAGACCCUUUUCUUAUCUUUUUAAUGACCUGCAUACUGUAUGUGUUUUUUUUUAACACAUAACAGAAGAAAAAAAAACGUUACUGAGGCUUUAAUGUUUUUUGUAGAACUCUUAUAACAGUCAAGUAAAAAUUGUAUAGUUGACAGGAAUCAGUUAAAAUGCACCAGAUAGAUGAAAGUGAUGUCAAUGGUAACUUAUGCAAAAUGCAAAUGUAUUAUAAACCCUCACUAAAUUUGAAAAACACAACAUCAAAAACAAGUGUUUCACAAUCACUAGUUUUAACUAAAUGAUACAAUUAUCCUUCUCCGUCAAGCUCUGCUUGUUGUAGCACAUGUGCAUUAAAGGUAGAGGUUACAGCAGUGCUAAUGCACACUUUUUUGAGUUCAUUAUAAUCUAUUAUUUUACAUUGUUUAUUGAGAAAUAUUUUUAGAGGUAUUUUUGUGCAUAUAGAUAUGGCUAUGGCUUACUUUCAAACCAGAGCUACAAUUCAAUAUAAAUGUAAACGACUCGGGUAUAAAGUCCCUGGUAAAAUACUCUUAUGUAAGAACAUAACAACUUCUGAAGAUUCAACCCACAACUUAGUUUAAAAACCAAUGUACUUUC